This 372-nucleotide long non-coding RNA is filed under the name Oryctolagus cuniculus (rabbit). RNAcentral describes it as "lncRNA (ENSOCUG00000030117.1)". Lineage: Eukaryota; Metazoa; Chordata; Mammalia; Lagomorpha; Leporidae. The record is from RNAcentral.
UGAUAUUGACACCAUGAAUCAGAUGAAAACUGUCAUUGCCCAAAUGCUGGAAUACUGUCCAACGGUUAUCAAUUGUUCCUGAGAAUCUAGACAUUUGUGAUGCUAUGCUGUCUGAGUCCUUGCAAUUUGUCAAAGCUGUUGCCAAGAAGUUGAGAUUGGGUUAUUGAAACAUGCAGAACUUACCUACCUCAGCUAUGAUCCAAUAGUCAGGUAAGCCUCUAUCAGUUCUGGUUUCACUUAAAACUAUAAAGUAUCACUAAUUCCUUCAACUUUCCCUAAUUCCAACAUCACAAGUGUUCAUAGGAUUAUUACAGUGCACUUAUUCAGACUAAGCACAAAUUGUUCAGAUUGUAUCAGAAUACUCGAGUGUGG